Molecule: long non-coding RNA, 2743 nt
Organism: Triticum aestivum (bread wheat)
Lineage: Eukaryota; Viridiplantae; Streptophyta; Magnoliopsida; Poales; Poaceae
Exons: 4
Source: RefSeq, a predicted model, not a curated record
GAAACUAUUGUUCUUUUGUAGUGCGGGCCACGGAGACGACGAGGUGGCCGAGCUGCCUGUGGCGCCGUCGCCGUACCUCACGACCCAGCAGGAGGUGUGUCGGCCGCAGAGACGGUAGAGGUCUCAUCCGCUCACUCUCUCGCCGCCGCAGGAGGAGUGCGCGCAGGGGGGGUGGCGGGUCAAGGUCCGCUCGCCGGCGCCACCCGCUGAACGAUGAAUCCAUGCGCACCCUCUCCGAUGACCUCCCGGGCACGCCACCGCUGGCAACGGUGAGGACAACACACCCUGUCCACCAUCGGCCACCAGCAGUAGCAGGACCACCACUGUUGCCUGUCCUCUUUGAUGCAAGAUCCACGCUGCUCCACUUCGUCCAGUCCCUUCUCUUGACAGAGAGUACCUGCAGCCCACAUGAACUCCAGUAAAAUCCUCGACCAAGGUUCGCUAGGGGCUGCAUCGUCCAGUAAUAAGAAGAUGCAUUCACCAAUCAAGGCAUUCUCCAUUAGACUUAUCUGGCAUUAACUUGCGAUGAUGGCGAUCUUAAAUCAUUCUUAUCUCAAGGGUCAUAGCUGCUGCCGUCACAUGCUUUAGGCGUGUCUACACUAGGUAUGGUUGUCGGAGAAAGAAUGCCCCUCUGAUCUCCAAUUGCCCUUUCUGAAUUUGACUAUUUUUUACUAGCUGGAGAAAUGAAAGCAUCGCAUUAAUUUUUAGUUUGUGAGAUGUGCUGCUAAGAAAUUAGCUAUAUUCUUACAAUCUAAGAUACUCAGCUUACAGCGCGGUAAGAAGCGUAUACCGUGACUGUACGUGUUCAGGUGUUUCUCAAAAUAUUCCUCAUCUGUACAGGAGGUAUAGCGGCCAGCGACCAGGAGGUAUAGCGGCUAUGCAAGUGAAUUUAAAUUAUUUCUCAUCUGUACAGGAGGUAUAGCGGCCAGCGACCAGGACAGAAAAAUAUUGUAUCUGUUAAUAUUGGAUCAUCCAAAUUGAAAUUCGGUUUAUAUUAUUCAGUCUGCAUUCUAACAAACAUGUUCUAUUUGGCAUCAUACUAUCAUUCAACUUAAAAGAUGGCUUAACCCGUUAACCCAAGUUAAAAUCUCAGGAAGAUGGUGGUUGUUCACCCUGACAUUUGGUUUAGUUCUGGUUGACAUGCUCAGUUGCUCCACGUCUGUUAGAUAUUAAAUAGUCUGGUUCUUCUUUCUGUAAAGUUUGGCAAUUUAAAAACCUUUAUUGAGUUUUGCUUUUUUAGUUGUAUCAGGUGUUCUCCUGCUUAGUCUAAAUCAGAUAGGGACUUUAAACAUAUUUAGUUUAAAUAAUGACAUGCUUUUGUACUAUUAUUGACUUUCUUUAUCUCCUUCUGUUAUCACUAAUAAUGUUUUGCUUAAUUAAACAUCAUGUAGAUCUUCUUGCUUCGUGCAUUUUUUCAAUACUAAUCUUCUUGCUUCGUGCAUUUUUUUAUUUCACUCGAUGUUGGAUGCUCUUCAUGUCCAUGAGGCCCUGGUCAUCGGCAUCGAUAGAACUAUAGUCAGGCCUUCUGCUGAGCAAGCUCUGUAACUGCUACAAGGAACCUUGGUUGGUGGUCAGAAUGUGAGGCUUUCAUCGAGAAGAAGACCUUUGAACAAACAAACUCAGGUUAAUUCUUGUGUACGGAGCUUAUAUCCUGUCUUGAGUUGUAUAUAUACUAGAGGUAAAGUAGGUAAUAUAUAACAUGUGAACAUUUCCUCAGGAAGCCAGCCAGUUGUAUGUCCAGUUCUCCACUAUAAAAUUGUUUGUGCCCUGCCUGUUUUCGCCUCUUUCUUUGAUAUAUAAAAGUGCCUAGAACAUAAACGAGUGUGUUUCUAUAUUUACUUUCCCUUUAGGAUGGUGGAAAUUCAUAUUCUAUUCAAAAGCACUUCAUGUACAUGGUCAAAUGCUUCAGAAACAGUAGUAUGCUACUUCACUUUUUAUCUUCCUGGGGGUUCUGAUUCAUCUGUAUUAACUAAAGAAGCUUGCGAUAUUAUUUUCAUUAGCACAGUGCAAAUCAAACCGAAAAAAUACACAUGCUUGCCCUUUGUAAAGAACCACUAUUACUAUAUAUGCUCUACUUUGUACAGAAUCAUAUGUAUAUUAUGCUUGCCCCUAAAUUGUUGCUUUAUGCUGAACCACUAUUACUAUAUUAUGCUUUGAUAUGAGAUUUGGUGCUUGAAUCAAGUAUUUAUGGAGACCAUGCCCUUAUGCGAGUCUUCAGGCCUUGCUGGGUUGUUUUAUUGUUCUGAAGGCAUCAUCAUGUGUGAUUGUAGUUACAUUGUGUCCUUCACACGUACAUCCACCAUCAAUCAGGUAGACACUCCCUUUUUUCCAAAUAAAAUCAAGUGAAUGUUGUACUCCCAAACCAAUUAGCUCGUUUCGGUUUGAUAAAUAUCGUGCAUUGAUCCAUGCACUUUUGACAAAUUUAUAUUCUCAUGACAUCUCCGGUUUACUUCCGUUCUUUUUUUGUGCUUCUCGGAUUAGAGACAUGGAACAUGUCAUCAUUUUGUCAGACUAAGCGUGGAGCUACUUGUGCAAGUUACACCAUCAGCAAACACAUGAAGACCUGCAUGCUAUCAUCGCAAGUUGAGCAUUUACAUGCUCUAAGUUAAUCUGAUAGGGAGAAAACAAAGGCUUGUGUGCCCAUUAGUAAUUUUUUGUUUUAUCAUAGUGGGCACCUUAUCUAUCUGUAACAUGUGACCUGUGCAACUGCAAAGGUGUUGGGCGAUAAAAAUUCUGUGCAACA